AGAACGAACGCUGGCGGCGUGGAUAAGACAUGCAAGUCGAACGCGACUUAUUUUGUUAGCAAUAACAGAGUAAGUUGAGUGGCGAAAGGGUGCGUAACACGUGGGAAUUUACCAAGAAGUGGGGAAUAGCUCGACGAAAGUCGAAUUAAUACCGCAUGUGAUCGAAAGAUCAAAGUCGGGGACCGCAAGGCCUGACGCUUUUUGAGAAGCCCGCGGCCCAUCAGCUAGUUGGUGAGGUAAUGGCUCACCAAGGCUAUGACGGGUAGCUGGUCUGAGAGGACGACCAGCCACACUGGAACUGAGACACGGUCCAGACACCUACGGGUGGCAGCAGUCGAGAAUUUUUCACAAUGGACGAAAGU
Molecule: ribosomal RNA, 362 nt
Filed under: uncultured bacterium
Lineage: Bacteria
Description: SSU rRNA
Rfam family: Bacterial small subunit ribosomal RNA
Source: RNAcentral